This 486-nucleotide ribosomal RNA is filed under the name Chagasia bathana. RNAcentral describes it as "eukaryotic LSU rRNA". It matches the Rfam family "Eukaryotic large subunit ribosomal RNA", at positions 282 to 649 of the family's 3401-position model. Lineage: Eukaryota; Metazoa; Arthropoda; Insecta; Diptera; Culicidae. The record is from RNAcentral.
GCAGCACUAAGCAGGAGAUAAACUUCUUCUAAUGCUAAAUAUAACCGUGAGACCGAUAGCGAACAAGUACCGUGAGGGAAAGUUGAAAAGCACUCUGAAUAGAGAGUUAAAGAGUACGUGAAACUGCCUAGGGCCCAAGCCCGUUGAACUCAAUUAUCCGAGCGGCGAUAUUCAUGUGUGGGAGGGGGCAACCCUUCCUGCAAGGCACUUAUCGACGUGCUGGACAUUGCGAUCCAUUGUGCGCACCCAUACACAUUCAGCAACAGCCACCGGAUCCGCUUCGCCAGUCCCGUAGUAGCGACGUUCAGUUAUCCUGAAGGCCUAUGUCGCAACCCGAGGCUGGGCGGUACCGGUGCGCUGCUGAAGGCGCGAUGGACUCACCCGAACCGGGCUGGUGGCACCGUAUACGACUCCCGUAUACACCGUACCUUGGCUGCCUCAUCCACCCGAUCAGCAAUGCCAUACAGUUGAGAUACCUACGGGACC